Molecule: ribosomal RNA, 301 nt
Filed under: uncultured bacterium
Lineage: Bacteria
Description: partial 16S ribosomal RNA
Rfam family: Bacterial small subunit ribosomal RNA
Source: RNAcentral
CAGUCGCCGCGGUAAUACGAGGGGGGCAAGCGUUGUUCGGAUUUAUUGGGCGUAAAGGGUGCGUAGGCGGUUUGGCAAGUCUUGUGUGAAAUCUUCGGGCUCAACCCGAAGCCUGCACGAGAAACUACCGGACUUGAGUAUUGGAGAGGUGAGUGGAAUUUCCGGUGUAGCGAUGAAAUGCGUAGAUAUCGGAAGGAACACCUGUGGCGAAAGCGGCUCACUGGACAAUAACUGACGCUGAUGCACGAAAGCUAGGGGAGCAAACAGGAUUAGAUACCCCAGUAGUCCCUGUCUCUUAUAC